Molecule: ribosomal RNA, 163 nt
Filed under: Crepis capillaris
Lineage: Eukaryota; Viridiplantae; Streptophyta; Magnoliopsida; Asterales; Asteraceae
Description: 5.8S ribosomal RNA
Rfam family: 5.8S ribosomal RNA
About the family: 5.8S ribosomal RNA (5.8S rRNA) is a component of the large subunit of the eukaryotic ribosome. It is transcribed by RNA polymerase I as part of the 45S precursor that also contains 18S and 28S rRNA.
Source: RNAcentral
AAACGACUCUCGGCAACGGAUAUCUCGGCUCACGCAUCGAUGAAGAACGUAGCAAAAUGCGAUACUUGGUGUGAAUUGCAGAAUCCCGUGAACCAUCGAGUGUUUGAACGCAAGUUGCGCCUGAAGCCAUCCGGUUGAGGGCACGCCUGCCUGGGCGUCACGC